CACAGCUGGGUUCUGGAGGUUCUGAUCCAUUACUGAAUUUAGGAGGCAUUCUCAUAGAGUCAUCACUCUUCAUAGACGCACAGCUGGGUUCUGCUCCAUCACUGAAUUUAGGAGGCAUUCUCAUAGAGUCAUCACUCUUCAUAGACACACAGCUGGGUUCUGCUCCAUCACUGAAUUUAGGAGGCAUUCUCAUAGAGUCAUCACUCUUCAUAGACACACAGCUGGGUUCUGGAGGUUCUGCUCCAUCACUGAACUUAGGAGGCAUUCUCAUAGAGUCAUCACUCUUCAUAGACGCACAGCUGGGUUCUGGAGGUUCUGCUCCAUUACUGAAUUUAGGAGGCAUUCUCAUAGAGUCAUCACUCUUCACAGACACACAGCUGGGUUCUGGAGGUUCUGAUCCAUUACUGAAUUUAGGAGGCAUUCUCAUAGAGUCAUCACUCUUCCAAAACAC
This is a long non-coding RNA of Astyanax mexicanus (Mexican tetra), 451 nucleotides long. RefSeq lists it as uncharacterized. The transcript is spliced from 6 exons. The record is from RefSeq and is a predicted model, not a curated record. Lineage: Eukaryota; Metazoa; Chordata; Actinopteri; Characiformes; Acestrorhamphidae.